UACGUAGGGUCCGAGCGUUGUCCGGAAUUAUUGGGCGUAAAGGGCUCGUAGGCGGUCCGUCACGUCGGGAGUGAAAACUCGGAGCUCAACUCCGAGCCUGCUUCCGAUACGGGCAGACUAGAGGUAGGCAGGGGAGAGCGGAACUCCUGGUGUAGCGGUGGAAUGCGCAGAUAUCAGGAAGAACACCGGUGGCGAAGGCGGCUCUCUGGGCCUUACCUGACGCUGAGGAGCGAAAGCCAGGGGAGCAAACAGG
This 253-nucleotide ribosomal RNA is filed under the name uncultured bacterium. RNAcentral's name for it is "partial 16S ribosomal RNA". It matches the Rfam family "Bacterial small subunit ribosomal RNA", at positions 524 to 776 of the family's 1533-position model. The record is from RNAcentral.